CCACGGCGUGCUGAUGAUGG
This 20-nucleotide microRNA is filed under the name bovine alphaherpesvirus 1. Its description in RNAcentral is "bhv1-miR-B3". Its record names the gene bhv1-miR-B3. The record is from miRBase by way of RNAcentral. Lineage: Duplodnaviria; Heunggongvirae; Peploviricota; Herviviricetes; Herpesvirales; Orthoherpesviridae.